This 1729-nucleotide long non-coding RNA is filed under the name Mustela putorius furo (domestic ferret). RNAcentral's name for it is "lncRNA (ENSMPUG00000027299.1)". Lineage: Eukaryota; Metazoa; Chordata; Mammalia; Carnivora; Mustelidae. The record is from RNAcentral.
GAUCAUGGGAUUUGUUUUUCUCUUUUUAGGAAUUUUAGUAUUGGAGAGUUCAAUUUCAGACUGCAGUGCUUCCUGGCAAAAUGAAAAUGGCAUCAUUUGACCUCAGAAUCCAGGAAACCGCCCGAGCCUUCUGUUCAGGGUCUCAUCAACGGUGAGAUGACCGACCCACCUGGCCGAAGGACCCGACCACGCCCUUCCAUGGCGGAAGAUGGAACAGGGAGUUGGUGUUUUCUCCGGUUUUAGCCUCUCACUCACUCCCUCAGGCCUGCACCUCCCUUGGGCUGGAUCUAGCAGAGAGCCAGCUAAUGGAGCAUUCAGACAUCCUGCUGGUGGCCCCCUGCAUUACAGAAGAGAGAAAGAGAGCGGGGCAAGGCUGAGACAGGUAUCAGAAGGCCGACCAGCCCUGGAUCAGUACGGCAGCACUUCUCGUGUUCAUUUAGUCAGAAGACAGCAAUCUGUGACACAGAAGAGGGCCCUCACCCAACCAUGCCGGCAUCCUGAUCUCAGACUUUCAGCCUCCAAAACUGUGAGAAAUACAUUUCUGCUGUUUAUACAUCACCCAGGCUUUGGUACUUGGUGCUAGCAGUCCAGGCAGAUUAAGACAUUAUAAUUAUCAUUGGAAGACAGACUGUGGGAUGUAGGAAACUGAUUCCAUAUAUACGCCUCGCGGGCAUCAAGUGCAUACGUGCCCACACGCAGACAAGCACACCCACACACAGACAGGCAAGGCCAUGCGUGGACACGCAUGUCCACACAUGGAUAUGCACGCCUGUAGGCACUGAGUGCCAACAAGACAUGCAGAAAAUGCAUGGGUAUCAGAGAAAGACACAUUGGUGGUGCUUUUUGGUUUGGGUUUUGUUUUUUGUGGGUUUUUUUGUUUUUGUUUUUUAAUUUUUACUGACACUGAAAGCACAAAUGUGAGAGAAGCCUUAAGGAUAAGGAGACAGUAAUCACACUUAGCGCCAAAUUUAAAGUGCCGCAGUUUUGAAGAGUAAAAAUUCGACAUGCUUAUUUUGGUAUUCUUGCUGGCAUAAUUUUUAGCAAAUUGAAGCACUGAUAAAUUUGCAAGACACAAACAUAGUUUCCCCUAUUUUGUAGACAUGAUUAAAAAGAUUACUACUGUUGGUUCAUUCUCAGUAAUGUAUUCCCCAGAAGAAGUACAGAGAAUAUGGAAGGAAGAUGGGAGACAGCUAGUUGAACCCCGCAGCUCAAGGUUGGCUUAGCAGGGCUAUUUCAGCUCUGGGAGACACUGCCUUCACAUCGGGACACUCAUCCUGUUAACAUCACUUAAAAAUCACCCAGCAAGGAAUGCCUGUGUGGCUCAGUUGGUUAAGCCUCUGCCUUCGGCUCCUUCAUGAUCCCAGGGUCCUGGGAUUGUGUUCCACAUUGGGCUCCUUGCUCAAUAGGGAGCCUGCUCUGCCUGUAGCUCUCCGUAUUUCUGCUCUCCCUGACAGAUAAAUAAAUAAAAGUCUUUAAAAAAAAAAAAAAGCAUCCAGAAAAUUUUGUCUUCUAUUUUAUUAUGUGACUUUUUCGAAUCUUACGUUGUUUAAUCCAAUCUAUGCUUUAUCUCCAUUGCUCUUAGAACUUGUAUUUUUUUUUCAUUUUCCCUUUGACCCCCUUCACCCAUUUCACCAUCAAAGUUUCCUGAUUUAAAUGUAAAUCUCAUCCAAAACCACCCUCAUAGAAACAUCCAGAAUAUUUGACCAAAUAUCUGGAUAUUGUGGCCCAG